CGGGGUGAGUAAUGUCUGGGAAACUGCCUGAUGGAGGGGGAUAACUACUGGAAACGGUAGCUAAUACCGCAUAACGUCGCAAGACCAAAGAGGGGGACCUUCGGGCCUCUUGCCAUCGGAUGUGCCCAGAUGAGAUUAGCUAGUAGGUGGGGUAACGGCUCACCUAGGCGACGAUCCCUAGCUGGUCUGAGAGGAUGACCAGCCACACUGGAACUGAGACACGGUCCAG
RNAcentral lists this ribosomal RNA (229 nucleotides) under uncultured bacterium. RNAcentral's name for it is "partial 16S ribosomal RNA". It matches the Rfam family "Bacterial small subunit ribosomal RNA", at positions 104 to 334 of the family's 1533-position model. The record is from RNAcentral.